Molecule: non-coding RNA, 250 nt
Organism: Pelobates cultripes (western spadefoot toad)
Lineage: Eukaryota; Metazoa; Chordata; Amphibia; Anura; Pelobatidae
Source: the annotation of a GenBank genome assembly
AAGUCAUAAAGAUACGUCUGGGGGGAACAUAAUAAGGGAGAGGAAUACAUGAGAAAAAGGUUGUAAUAGAAGGUGCUACAAAGUAUCUAUUUGGUAGCACACAAAAUCUAUAGAGAGUUAUUAGCAAUAUAAAGGACAAAAAUGUGUCUAAGUAGUACCCUCUAUGAAUAUGUAUAUGUGUCCCGUGCCUUCGAGGGCACCUAGCUCCAACCCCCCAGAUGUCCGAUGAAUAGGUACAUCUAAAAAAUAA